UACAGGGGGAGCAAGCGUUGUUCGGAUUUACUGGGCGUAAAGGGCGCGUAGGCGGCCAGCACAAGUCAGUUGUGAAAUCUCCGAGCUUAACUCGGAAAGGUCAACUGAUACUGUGCGGCUAGAGUGCGGAAGGGGCAACUGGAAUUCUUGGUGUAGCGGUGAAAUGCGUAGAUAUCAAGAGGAACACCGGUGGCGAAGGCGGCCCACUGGUCCGGUACUGACGCUGAGGUGCGAAAGCGUGGGGAGCAAACAGG
This 254-nucleotide ribosomal RNA is filed under the name uncultured bacterium. RNAcentral's name for it is "partial 16S ribosomal RNA". It matches the Rfam family "Bacterial small subunit ribosomal RNA", at positions 524 to 776 of the family's 1533-position model. The record is from RNAcentral.